GAUGAACGCUAGCUACAGGCUUAACACAUGCAAGUCGAGGGGCAGCAUGGCUGUAGCAAUACAGCUGAUGGCGACCGGCAAACGGGUGCGGAACACGUACGCAACUUACCCAUAACUGAUGGAUAGCCCGAAGAAAUUCGGAUUAAUACAUCGUAAAAUCACAGAGUGGCAUCACUUAAUGAUUAAAGAAUUUCGCUUGAAGAUGGGCGUGCGCCUGAUUAGGUAGUUGGUGAGGUAACGGCUCACCAAGUCAACGAUCAGUAACUGGCGUGAGAGCGCGACCAGUCACACGGGCACUGAGACACGGGCCCGACUCCUACGGGAGGCAGCAGUAAGGAAUAUUGGUCAAUGGACGCAAGUCUGAACCAGCCAUGCCGCGUGAAGGAUGAAGGCCCUCUGGGUCGUAAACUUCUUUUAUCUGGGACGAAAUCACCUUUUUCUAAGGGUGUUGACGGUACCAGAGGAAUAAGCACCGGCUAACUCCGUGCCAGCCGCCGCCGUAA
RNAcentral lists this ribosomal RNA (503 nucleotides) under uncultured bacterium. RNAcentral describes it as "partial 16S ribosomal RNA". It matches the Rfam family "Bacterial small subunit ribosomal RNA", at positions 28 to 523 of the family's 1533-position model. The record is from RNAcentral.